This 258-nucleotide unclassified non-coding RNA is filed under the name uncultured fungus. RNAcentral describes it as "partial contains small subunit ribosomal RNA, internal transcribed spacer 1, and 5.8S ribosomal RNA". The stretch from base 1 to 73 matches the Rfam family "Eukaryotic small subunit ribosomal RNA", at positions 1759 to 1831 of the family's 1831-position model. The record is from RNAcentral. Lineage: Eukaryota; Fungi.
GCAAACUUGGUCAUUUAGAGGAAGUAAAAGUCGUAACAAGGUUUCCGUAGGUGAACCUGCGGAAGGAUCAUUAAUGGAAAAUCUCUUUCCACUUAAUCCACACACACCGUGCACCCUCGUCGGGCCCGGUCACGGGCCCGUCUUUUUUUUUCUAUGCUCACGCAUGAAUUCAUAAAAGGUUACCUGGAAGUGAAAAUUUGAAUUGAAACAACUUUCAACAACGGAUCUCUUGGCUCUCGCAUCGAUGAAGAACGCAGC